AUUGAACGCUGGCGGCAGGCUUAACACAUGCAAGUCGAGCGGAGACUUCGGUCUUAGCGGCGAACGGGUGAGUAAUACCUAGGAAUCUGCCUAUUAGUGGGGGAUAACGAAUCGAAAGGUUCGCUAAUACCGCAUACGUCCUACGGGAGAAAGGGGGGAGUCUUCGGACCUCUCGCUAAUAGAUGAGCCUAGGCCGGAUUAGCUAGUUGGUAGGGUAAAGGCCUACCAAGGCGACGAUCUGUAGCUGGUCUGAGAGGAUGGCCAGCCACACUGGAACUGAGACACGGUCCAGACUCCUACGGGAGGCAGCAGUGGGGAAUAUUGGACAAUGGGGGCGAACCCUGAUCCAGCCAUGCCGCGUGUGUGAAGAAGGCCUCGG
Molecule: ribosomal RNA, 379 nt
Filed under: uncultured bacterium
Lineage: Bacteria
Description: bacterial SSU rRNA
Rfam family: Bacterial small subunit ribosomal RNA
Source: RNAcentral